This 70-nucleotide transfer RNA is filed under the name Cricetulus griseus (Chinese hamster). It matches the Rfam family "tRNA". From Rfam's summary of the family: Transfer RNA (tRNA) molecules are approximately 80 nucleotides in length. Their secondary structure includes four short double-helical elements and three loops (D, anti-codon, and T loops). Lineage: Eukaryota; Metazoa; Chordata; Mammalia; Rodentia; Cricetidae. The record is from Rfam by way of RNAcentral.
GGACAUGUAGCUCAGUUGGUAGAGCGCUUGCCUAGCAUACGGGAAGCCUUGGGUUCCAUCCCCAGCACCA